Topomyia yanbarensis is the source of this 3520-nucleotide long non-coding RNA. RefSeq lists it as uncharacterized. Lineage: Eukaryota; Metazoa; Arthropoda; Insecta; Diptera; Culicidae. The transcript is spliced from 2 exons. The record is from RefSeq and is a predicted model, not a curated record.
UAUAUACGUGUAUAUUUGCCAGAAGGUUGAUUCCUUCUUUCAGUCAUGAGCUGUUCUUUAAAUUUGCAUACCAAAUGGCCCUCGCAAGUAAACUGGUGAUAUACUCGUUUGCCCGUUUCACCCAAAAUUAGGAGUUGACUCCUUUCAAAAAUGAGCAGCUCUUUUAAUCUGCAUGUUUAAUAAGUUCGCAAGCAAAGUGUUGAUUUACUCGUUUGCUCGGAUUACCUAACCAUAAGGGUUGAUUCUUCUUUCAAAUAUGAGCAGUUAUUUGAACCUAUAUACCAAUUAACCCUUGGCAUUGUCACAUAACUGAGACCAAGGAUCCGAAGCGGGAUCCUCCGGGUUCCGAUGGUGCGUCGGCGGCCCCUCGCGAGCAAACCUGUGAUCCACUCGUUUGCCCGGAUUACUCAAACGUAGGGGCUAUCAACUAGUUCAAGUCCGACGGAGCGGAGCGAUGUCGGACAGCACCGGGUUUAAAGCGAUGUGGCGUAGCCACAUUAGGCGCCAACGACUAGUAACAGAAAAUUCAACGUAUUUUUUAAAUUAUGUCAAGCGACCAUUAUGCCAAAUGACCAUUAUGCCAAACGACCAUUAUGCCAAAUGACCAUUAUGCCAAACGAACGUAUGUGUCACCUACUGUUAUGCCAAAUGAACUUAUGCCAAAUGAACUUAUGCCAAACGAACUUAUGCCAAACGACGUGCUCCCAAUGUAGCGAUGACGUGACUAUGGUGGCUAGACUGGGUUCGAUGUAAAUCUUCCACAGGGUAGAGAAUGGGAUGUUGUCCAUCUUGAAAUUUCGGAUAAUCGAAUUACUUGAACAUGGGGAUUGGUUCCUUCUUUCAAACAUGAGCAGUAUUUAAUUUUUUAUGCCAAAUAACUUUUGCACUCAAAAUUGUGACCUUAUCGUCAGCCCGGUUUAUUCAAACAUAGGUGAUGAAUUUACCUUUCGAGCUUUCCUUUAAUCUAUUAUAAAAUCAAAAUAAAUGCACAUUUUGACAAAUGUUUUGUAAAUUUUUAGAGCAUUUAACCUUCUUUUGCAAUGGAAAUGUUUCGUACGCAAAUGUAUGAUCCACCCGAUUGUUCAGUUGACUCCAUGUGGCACUAAAUACCUUCGAAAGUAUUUUCAUACCCUAUGCCAAAUGGUACUUAUUCCACAGACUAACAGACAUAAUACUCGAAAACAAUUCUUCGUGAACGUUAGCGGUCAUUUUGAAUAUAUUUUUAGUUAGAACUGCGACCCAAUUUGCGAUUAUGGCGCCACUGACUUAUGCAAGUAAUGCUUCAGAUUUAGUUGGAAGCAUAAAAAAAUAUUUACAGCGACGACACAACUUGCUCCUGUCUGGGCCCUUACAGUCGUAUGACUUGUGGUCUGGCUUCAGACACUGAUAACACCUGUCCACUGAAGGCGGCUGGGGUAUGCUUACUGGGCAUACUGACCAGCCGAUCUUCAGCUUCCCUUUUUCGGUCACCUUUUUGGCUUCCGCAACCGGUAGCUUGAAAUAGACUACCUGCGUGCCAAGCAGUCGCUCCCUUAGGCGUACAGAGGUCCGCUCGAUCUCUACGCCACACUGCUCCUUGACGGCCGAGACGACGUCUUCUGCGUUUGUAACCUCAUCUAGUUGCUUGCACUAGAGGGUCACUUCCGCACCCAACGACCUCACCUGAACGCCGUCUCCCAAGACCUCUUGGGCCAACUUCCUGUACGUCACCCCGCUGGAUUGGCAGGUUUUCACCAACAAGGCCUCUCCUCUGUCCUUGAGCUUCUUCGCGGGUCGAGGUGCUUAGAGCUACUGACCAGCUGCUAUUCGCCCUCUUGUGCCGAUGGCACCGGCUGGCUGGUUACACUUUGCGCCCGGUUGGUGCCUGUCGCCUUCUUAGGCUGAGAAGUCACCUUCUUGGGUCUACUCCCAACGGCAUCCUUCGCACCUUCCAAACGACGUUUGGCCUUUGUGGUUGCACGUCGUUUGGCGUUGCCCCGCGUACCUUCACCUGUUGACUGCGUGGGCCGCUACGCAGUUUUGCCCUCCAAUAAGUUCUUUGUGGUCGUUAAGGCGAAAUCUAUCGCCUCUUGGGCCAUCGUAGCUCCACCGAUGAAGGAGAAGGCCUCGGUUUGGACGCCUUUAUCAGCCUACUCUCUUCCCGCCACCCUCUUCAUAUAAGCUUCCUGUUCUUGUCUUGCGACUCGAACAGUCUGGCGGAGCACCAGCAGGUUCUGUUUCAGUUCCUUGUUGAUGUUCUGCUUUCCGCUCGUAAACUCGAUAAUAUUAUCGAGUUGCUUGACCACCGCCCGCAUCGCGGAUAGUGGUCCGCCAAGUGUGUUGGUAGGGUCAUCUCCUACCACACCUGAAGAUCCCCCGGUACUGUUGGUUGCAUCCCCCUUUGCUCCGCUGUCACCUCCUCUGGGAGGAGACCUCGCCAAACCCCCUUUGGCAAAGGGGUACACCACCUUCUUCAUUUCCUCAUCGUCUCCUACUUUGCUCUCAUUAUUACUAUUUUUAAUUUCACGACUCAUACAAUAUCCCACGAGUAGUGCGAGAAAAACGGUUCGCCACGUCAGAGCACCGCAUUAACGUGGUAAGGGAAUCAGAAUCAGGAUUACUUACACAUUGUAGGCGCAUGCCUACAAUGUUUAAGUAAUAAAGCGGCGUAGGUAUAAAGUGUUAUUUUGCCUCUGGUCUGAUCUAGAUGAGAAGGUAGACUAAAAGUGAUGAUUGUUUUUUUUUUCGUUUCGUUUCGCUCCUUUUAUCGGGUUAUAAUUGAAUUUUAUGUUAGUGUAUAGCCGCAUUAAAUUGUUUUUCAAAUGUUGUGAUAUUAUUUUUUAUUUUCUCGAUUUCCUUCGUCAGCAGGCCUUUUGCUUCUAAUUUCGUUCCUAGACAAAAAGCUGUUUGAUUAUUCGUAAUAUCCAGUAAAGACAUGUAAGGGACAACAACGGGUAUGCAGAUAUGUUCUCUGGUACACGAUAGUAAAUAUGUGUAUAUUCAACUAAACAUUUGCCACUUUAAACUACCUAUUGCGAAAACUUAUUUGCCAAACAUAAGCAUAAAUAUGACUAUUUCGUAACACAGGAUUUAGUUAGCAUAAUAUUAAAGUUAAAGAGGGCAUGCAACUUAUGUUUUUACAUUUGUAAAAGCACGACGAAAGAGUUGAUACUAUGUCGUGUGUAGCAAGUAGUAUAUACAUUUAAUCAGAUACACCAAAACUGUAAAAUGCAAUAUUUUGAGUUCAAGCAAGCGUAGCAGGUUAUAUGAAAGUAUUUUUUUGCGAUUAAGCUCAACUUUCAAGCGUAAAUUGACUUAUCAUCUUCAAUAGCAGUGAUGUACACUCAACAAUUACUAUUGAUUAGCAUUUUAGUCAGCUGAGUCAGUAUCGAUGAGAACAACACAUUCGUUUGUUAUAGUUGUAAGCUAAGUGAAAUGUUGAUGAUCGUUUGAUCGACGGGCAGAAUUAUAAAUCUGUAACGGACAGAUGACGAGUAGCGCCACGAAGAGCUUAAAUAUAUUCAUCCAUAUGUAGAUAUUA